UCAAUUGUGAAGCUGGUGAAAGAAGAAUUCGUUUAGUAGCAGAGCUCCAUAGAAACACCGUUGCGACUCGCGGCGAGCUCUCAAUUCCAGAGCAUAACCUGAAAUCUGCUCAGCCGAGCCCUAACAUCAAUUGAAAGAUUCACAGCGCCAAAGAAUUGCAGUGCGCCCGUGUGCUAAUUUGGAGACUACAAUCUUGAAAGAUGGAUUCUGAAUUGGUAGUACACAAUGGUGGGUGCCAUUGCAAAAGAGUGAGAUGGCGAGUGCAAGCAGCAUCGAGUGUUGUUGCCUGGGCAUGUAACUGUUCCGACUGCUCCAUGAGAGGGAACACUCACUUCAUUGUUCCUUCUGAAAAGUUUGAGCUUCUUGGAGAUUCUGAGCAGUUCCUUACAACCUAUACAUUUGGUACUCACACCGCAAAACAUACUUUCUGCAAAGUUUGUGGCAUUACAUCCUUCUACAUUCCACGCUCAAAUCCAGAUGGAAGGGCAGUUACAUUCAGGUGUGUAGAUCCCGGUACCCUAUCCCAUGUCGAGAUCAAACAUUUUAAUGGAAAUAAUUGGGAGAACUCGUACAAAGAAACCGGCAUUGCUUCAUGCUCUAAAGUGAGACAAGGUUCGUAGAUGAUGAUACCCUCCUGCAGGUAGAUGCAACUUCAUAGCUCACUUUUAUCAUGUAACCAUAUUCUGGCAAAUUAUGUUUUCUUUCUUGCAAACUUGCCAAUGAUUUUCCUUGUAUUACAGUUUGUCUUAAUGUUCGUGUCAUUAUAGUACUCAAUGUCGUUAUAGGUCAUUUGGUGAGCCUUGGCCUUCCAUAAUUAAGAUUAAGGUUGUGUUUAGUUAGAGAUUUUUGUAUCCUACUAUAGAAUUUGAUACUCAUUACCAUGUUUGUUUGU
Molecule: long non-coding RNA, 892 nt
Organism: Ipomoea nil (Japanese morning glory)
Lineage: Eukaryota; Viridiplantae; Streptophyta; Magnoliopsida; Solanales; Convolvulaceae
Exons: 2
Source: RefSeq, a predicted model, not a curated record